GCUGUGGCUCAAUGGUAGAGUGCUUGCCUAGCAUGUGUGAGGCACUGGGUUUGAUUCUCAGCAACA
This 66-nucleotide transfer RNA is filed under the name Marmota monax (woodchuck). Its description in RNAcentral is "tRNA.Ala". The record is from RNAcentral. Lineage: Eukaryota; Metazoa; Chordata; Mammalia; Rodentia; Sciuridae.